AUAUAUUCCUAUAAAGUUUAACUUUUAUAUGUUAUUCCUGUAAAAGUACUGACGUUUUUAAAUAUGUCUCUACCGAUAAGAUCCGUUAGAAAAAAUUAGUUGCUCAUAAAUAAAAUACUUAACCCUAGUUAAUGAGGUGAAUUAAUUUUUUUAUCCUUCUUUAAUUAACAGUUGGAAUUUUUCGAGGGACGUAUUAUGGUGGCAAAAAGAUCAUUUCUCUUGUAAAAUAAACAAUGUUAACGGUAACAGACUAGAGGAAUAUAUUUGAAAAUAUUAGGACUUUUGUAGCGACAAUAUAUAAAAGUUAAACUUUGUAGGAAUAUAUUUACAGUUCACUAUGUUUAUAAAGACCUGUAUAAAAUUAACCCUAAAAAAAAGUAUAUUGGAAUUAGAAUUAUUAAGCACAAUUAACUGAACACAUUUCCAACACAAAGUCAUUAAAUUAGCAUAAUAGUGUUAAGACUAAUUCUGAACCAUUUUGUAUCAGAUCAAUUUUUUAGAUAAUACAGUAUCAGAAACAAUUGUCAGUGUAUAUAGUAUGAUUCACCUGAUAUCUAUCAUACACUUGAACAGUAAUGUUAAGACUAGUUCCGAAC
Molecule: long non-coding RNA, 596 nt
Filed under: Ananas comosus (pineapple)
Lineage: Eukaryota; Viridiplantae; Streptophyta; Magnoliopsida; Poales; Bromeliaceae
Description: long non-coding RNA (ACOM_LNC027358)
Source: RNAcentral